Molecule: small nucleolar RNA, 135 nt
Organism: Cygnus atratus (black swan)
Lineage: Eukaryota; Metazoa; Chordata; Aves; Anseriformes; Anatidae
Product: small nucleolar RNA SNORA8
Exons: 1
Source: RefSeq, a predicted model, not a curated record
UACGCUGCAAGGCAUGUGUACCUAGCAGUGUCUUUCUGAUGUAUUCAAAAAGCGGCACUGCAGUGUUUCAGCUGCUGGCAUCCUGGUUUUCAUGUGGACAUGCUGAUUUAACUUGGUGUUUCUGUUGAAACAAGU